GUUUUGGUGUCACUUCGGACAUUCGUUCGUGGUGGUGAAAAGGGAACCGGGUGUAAAUCCCGGGCAGACCCGCUGCUGUAAACUCCACGCCAAAGUCUUUGAAUAAAUACUCAUGCCACUGUUUUUCUCAGUGUACAGUUUAUGCGGAACAGUUUAUUUUUGAUAACUGCCUGCUGAAAACCGGUAACUUAAAAACGGGAAGGAUAUUCGAAGAUGGAGCAAGCCAGAAGACCUGCCAAGACUAUA
RNAcentral lists this non-coding RNA (246 nucleotides) under Indolivaga capnocytophagoides. The record is from RNAcentral. Lineage: Bacteria; Pseudomonadati; Bacteroidota; Bacteroidia; Bacteroidales; Dysgonomonadaceae.